RNAcentral lists this long non-coding RNA (744 nucleotides) under Ananas comosus (pineapple). Its description in RNAcentral is "long non-coding RNA (ACOM_LNC033107)". The record is from RNAcentral. Lineage: Eukaryota; Viridiplantae; Streptophyta; Magnoliopsida; Poales; Bromeliaceae.
ACUAACUACAAGUAUAUUAAAUUUCCAGGAUCCUUUUCUACAGCUUUAUUCUUAGGGUGCGUUUGGUUCGCGCUAUCUUUUUAAGAUUCCUGAUAAUCCAAUAAAAAUAAAAAACUAUGACAAUGUUUGACUAAACGCACUAAGUAAUCUAGUUGGUAAUAUUGGAUUUACUUGGAAUGAGAUGCAUCACAAAGUACUAAUUCCAUUCCUUUGAGGGAGGGUCGGUAUCCUUAUAUUAAUGAAUUUGGGUAAUUAUAAUAUGUCUAAUUUCUUUCUUUCUUCUCACCCGCCGGCUAAUUGGUAUUAUUUUUCUUUACACUCUAACCUCAUAUCUCUCUCUAAACUUAUCUUUUUCUCUCUCUAAACUAAGCUACUUCUCUCCCUCUUUUUCUAAAAUCUCAACCCUCUCAUUCUCUCUAACCUCGACUCUAUUUCUCUUUUUAUUUCUUUAAUUAUGCUCUCUCUUUCUAAUCUAUAUUCUCUUUCUCUUUUUUCUAAAAAGAUGUUGAAAUUUUUUAUAGUAUUAUUUAAAAUUAAUUAAAAAAAUAAAUUAAUUAUAUAUUUUUCGUAAUCUUAAAUAAUAUUGACUAAAUAAUAUGACCGUACGAACCAAACACCAAAAUACUACAUUCCUAGAAAUAGGAUGAAUAGAAAUAAGAUUUUCGGAUAUCAUUUUACUCCUAAUAAUAUUUCAUAGUGCGAACCAAACGCGCCCUUAGAACUAUUUUGGAAAAUCUAAUUAAU